RNAcentral lists this ribosomal RNA (465 nucleotides) under uncultured bacterium. RNAcentral's name for it is "partial 16S ribosomal RNA". It matches the Rfam family "Bacterial small subunit ribosomal RNA", at positions 338 to 795 of the family's 1533-position model. The record is from RNAcentral.
CCUACGGGCGGCAGCAGUAGGGAAUUUUCCACAAUGGGCGAAAGCCUGAUGGAGCAACGCCGCGUGGGUGAAGAAGGUCUUCGGAUCGUAAAACCCUGUUGUUAGAGAAGAAAGUGCGUGAGAGUAACUGUUCACGUUUCGACGGUAUCUAACCAGAAAGCCACGGCUAACUACGUGCCAGCAGCCGCGGUAAUACGUAGGUGGCAGGCGUUAUCCGGAUUUAUUGGGCGUAAAGGGAACGCAGGCGGUCUUUUAAGUCUGAUGUGAAAGCCUUCGGCUUAACCGGAGUAGUGCAUUGGAAACUGGGAGACUUGAGUGCAGAAGAGGAGAGUGGAACUCCAUGUGUAGCGGUGAAAUGCGUAGAUAUAUGGAAGAACACCAGUGGCGAAAGCGGCUCUCUGGGCUGUAACUGACGCUGAGGUUCGAAAGCGUGGGUAGCAAACAGGAUUAGAUACCCCAGUAGUC